AAUUAAAUUUUUUAUCUAUUUUUACUGUUAAAAACUGGUGUAGCUGACAGAAUAAGCAGACACUUACACGUGAUGUAUCACAUAUACUUCAUGCUGACAUGCAAAGACCAAUUUUUAACAGUAGAAAUGGACAGAAUUUUUAAUA
Gossypium arboreum is the source of this 145-nucleotide non-coding RNA. The record is from Rfam. NCBI's taxonomy places the organism in Eukaryota, Viridiplantae, Streptophyta, Magnoliopsida, Malvales, Malvaceae.